This 69-nucleotide transfer RNA is filed under the name Epigonus denticulatus (pencil cardinal). Its description in RNAcentral is "tRNA-His". It matches the Rfam family "tRNA". From Rfam's summary of the family: Transfer RNA (tRNA) molecules are approximately 80 nucleotides in length. Their secondary structure includes four short double-helical elements and three loops (D, anti-codon, and T loops). Further hydrogen bonds mediate the characteristic L-shaped molecular structure. tRNAs have two regions of fundamental functional importance: the anti-codon, which is responsible for specific mRNA codon recognition, and the 3' end, to which the tRNAs corresponding amino acid is attached (by aminoacyl-tRNA synthetases). tRNAs cope with the degeneracy of the genetic code in two manners: having more than one tRNA (with a specific anti-codon) for a particular amino acid; and 'wobble' base-pairing, i.e. permitting non-standard base-pairing at the 3rd anti-codon position. Lineage: Eukaryota; Metazoa; Chordata; Actinopteri; Acropomatiformes; Epigonidae. The record is from RNAcentral.
GUAGAUAUAGUUUAACAAAAACAUUAGAUUGUGAUUCUGAAAAUAGGGGUUAAACUCCCCUUAUCCACC